Molecule: ribosomal RNA, 253 nt
Filed under: uncultured bacterium
Lineage: Bacteria
Description: partial 16S ribosomal RNA
Rfam family: Bacterial small subunit ribosomal RNA
Source: RNAcentral
UACCUAGGGUGCGAGCGUUGCCCGGAUUUAUUGGGCGUAAAGGGCGCGUAGGCGGCUCGGCACGUCCGUUGUGAAAUCGCCCGGCUCAACUGGGCGGGGUCAGCGGAUACGGCCGAGCUUGAGCAAGCUAGGGGGCAAUGGAAUUCCCGGUGUAGUGGUGGAAUGCGUAGAUAUCGGGAGGAACACCAGUGGCGAAGGCGGUUGCCUGGAGCUUUGCUGACGCUGAUGCGCGAAAGCGUGGGGAGCGAUCCGG